AUUCCGUUAACGAGCGAGACCUGGGCGUGCUAACUAGGGGGUACUACCAUUUUGGUAGUAUACUUCCCUUCUUAGACGGACUGUGGGCGUCUAGCCCACGGAAGCUCCAGGCAAUAACAGGUCUGAGAUGCCCUUAGAUGUUCUGGGCCGCACGCGUGCUACACUGAGUGGAUCAGCGGGUUAGGUAACGCGAAAGUGUGUCCUAAUCUUCAAAUCCGCUCGUGAUGGGGAUUGACGGUUGCAAUUUUCCGUCAUGAACGAGGAAUACCUUGUAGGCGCGUGUCA
This 285-nucleotide ribosomal RNA is filed under the name Corallinales sp. T_Twist-2019. Its description in RNAcentral is "partial small subunit ribosomal RNA". It matches the Rfam family "Eukaryotic small subunit ribosomal RNA", at positions 1322 to 1630 of the family's 1831-position model. The record is from RNAcentral. Lineage: Eukaryota; Rhodophyta; Florideophyceae; Corallinales.